This 2853-nucleotide long non-coding RNA is filed under the name Sus scrofa (pig). Its description in RNAcentral is "lncRNA (ENSSSCG00000047280.1)". Lineage: Eukaryota; Metazoa; Chordata; Mammalia; Artiodactyla; Suidae. The record is from RNAcentral.
UUUUUGGUGUGUUGAACUCUGCACUGGCAAUGAACGCCUUUUAGCCCAUUUCAUCACUGUCUUUUGCUUCUCUUAUUUCUAUUGAGAAGUCUAUUUCUCUUUCUUUUUUUGCUGCACCUAUGGCAUGUGGAAGCUGUUCCUGGGCCAGGGAUUGAACCCAAACCACAGCAGUGACCUGAACCACUGCAGUGUCCACGCCUUCCCCCCGCCCCACUCCUUGACCCACUGCGACACAAGAGAACUCUUCCUCCUCAUUUUCUUAAAGUACAAUGUGAAGGGGAGACUCGACAACCACUAGGGUCCUCACUCCUGUUCUGACAUCUUGUGGAAAAGACUUGGGCUUGCUUAGCCGUGGACUUCAGUAGCAGUUACAUAAGAAGUCGCAGGGGGGAGCAGCUCUCUUUUAGUGGGUGGAAUUCUCGCCUGAGCCUCCUCUCUCUGCUCUGCCGAGGACCACCCUCAUAUCACUGGGAAUAAAUAAUGAUGGUUUAACCAUUUGCAUGUGUUCCACUACGCCCAUUUGUGGAAUGUUUUGACGUUUUUUUGACGGAGAAUAGUAUCUGCACAUCCAGAUAAUUACAGUAGGGUAUGGAGAGGCUUGUGAGUGAAGCUUAUUCCGAGGGUAAUAAAUUCCAUGUCUUGGCAGGAUAGGCUCUCCUUAAGAUAAGAGAAGAAACAAAUGGAGCUCUGGAGAGUGAAAUCCUCUUCAUCCUUAGAGAAAAGUCACACAUGUUCUCACUUGAGGAUGCAAUGGAAAGAGUAUUUGGAAUCAGGGAUUCUGGAUUUAGUUAAGUCCCCUGCUACUAAUUAACAAUGAGACUUUAAGUCACAAAUCUAUUUGGAUUUUAGUUUUUCUUCUGCUGUAAAAUGAGGAUGAAAUGAGAGGUUGCAGACUCUUUGUAAAUUCCUGAAUUACUAUCCAAAUGUAAAUUAUCAUCUUUUUAUACAACAUCGGUCUGGGCACUGAACAGAUUAGUGAUGGGGGGAGCCAGGGGGGCAGGUUUGCUCGUUUUCUCCAAAAGAAGGAAAGAGCUAGAGAGAGGAACAUCUUAGAGCACUUCUUUUGCUUCCAUAUUUAGAUAACAAGGUUUCUGACUACAGGGUCACUGGAACACAGUAAGACAUGGGGCAAAAAUGGAGAUUUAAGCUAGAUGAAACUUGAUCCAUCCCCUAUUGGGGCCACAUGCUGUGUAAGUUGGACAACUGCCUAACCUCGCCAAGACUAUCAAUGAAAUGGCGAUAGCUUUUCAAUGCAGUGGAGAAGACUUCUUGAGACACCUCAUGAAAAACUGCCUAACCAUGUUUUGAACGUUCUAGAUGCUCAAUAAAUGCGAGUUCCAUUCUCUCUUUCACAGAGGGGAGUGGCCGCAUUUACAAAUUAACUUUUGUUAACAUUUUACCGAGAGCUCCUUGAGACCCAUCAAUUGAAAUACUCAUGGAAGGGGAAAACUUAAGUAGAAAACCUCCAUAGAACUUUCUGCUCUGUGAAAAUUAUCUGGAGGAAGACAUGUGCCAAUUAGGCUAAAAGGAAAAGGAAGGUUAAAUAUUAUCUGAGUGAUUUUGAAAACUGUAUUAUACCAUAAAAUAAUACCUAUUAAGUAAUGUAACUUCCCAUCCAUGCCAUUCCACAUUUCAUUGGCUCCCAUCAUCUUGCAGCACUCAAGGAUAUGGUUUGCUGUUUAAAAGGGGGGGGGGGAAGGCAAGCAAAACGAUGUAUCAUGGGCCUUCUUCCUGCCAGCUUUAAAUUACCCCCACUUAACCCCAGAAGAAUCCAAAGAGCAGCAUCUUUUAGCUGAAAUUUCAGCUUAAAUGUUUCUAUAGCUUCCCAGCUGACUCGCCAUUCAUAAGCCUUUUAAAAAUUAAUUAUUAAAACCGUUUCCAUUAGUCUUCUGCUUGGCCUUCAUGCAGUCAUUCUUCUUCUGCUGUUUAGCAAGUGACAAACCACCAGCAUUAGCUAUAAAUACACGGCACCAGAUAUGGGAAGAAGGCAUAUGACUCAUGCUGGACCGCUCCCCAGGGCUAACUCAGUGAUGACUGAAUUCUGGGAAGUGGGGUCAGGUCCACACUUAACCUACAGGCAAAUUCCAAAGCAGCCGGCCCUAGGAAGAGAAUUCCCUUCACCAGCAGUUCCUUCUACUCCGCUUCUUGGUUCAAGGCACUGGGACAUUUCACUCGCUUCGCUGUUGGUAAAUUCCUUCUAUCUGUCCGUCUGUCCAUCCAUCCAGUAAACACUACUGAUGUUCUUACCAACCACACACCUAACACAGGAGGCAGAAUAUCAGAUGAGAAUGGGUUUCUGUCCUCAGAAAGAACACACCUGCAAUGUGGGAGUAAAUAGCCAUUACAGUGUAGAGGGACAGAAUGGAGAGCCCGGGUGGCCAGACAAGGACAUCAGGAAAGACUUCUAGGAAAAGGUCAUAUCAAAGACAUCAAAAUAAAGAUUCAGGAGGGUCCGGGAGCAUUCCCAAUACAAGAGCAGCUUAGGCAAAGGCAGAGGACUGCAAAACAGAAGGACUUCUUGGAGAAUGAAACAGGGUGAAGAAUGGCUGGAUUGGAAAGUUCCUUGAGGCCAGCGGUCAAAGCCGAGGCAGGCAGGGAAGGUGGGCUUACAUUCAAUCUGGGAGUUCCUGUCGUGGCGCAGCAGAAACAAAUCCGAAUAGGAACCAUGUGGUUGCGGGUUCAAUCCCUGACCUCACUCAGUGGGUUGAGGAUCCAGCGUUGCUGUGAGCUGUGGUGUAUAGGUCACAGACACAGCUCGGAUCUGGUGUUGCUGUGGCUGUGGUGUAGGCCAGCAGCUGUAGCUCUGAUUUGACCCCUAGCCUGGGAACCUCCAUAUGUCAUGGGUGUGGCCCC